GUUUUUGUAGAAUAGAAUAUUAUCACAACAAAUAUAACGCAAGCCACAAGGGAAGCCGGUGCAAGUCCGGCGCGGUCGCGCCACUGUGAGGGGGAGCGACCCCACAGCAGGCCACUGGUCCGGCAUUCAGCAAGAGCCCUGCCGCUAACGGGUUGCGGUUAAAGGGACUGAGCGCCGGACUGGGAAGGCGUGGGGGAGCGGUGAGCCCGAGCCAGGAUACCUGGUGCUUGUCGUCGUAAGUG
Non-coding RNA from Moorella thermoacetica ATCC 39073, 242 nucleotides. The record is from Rfam. Lineage: Bacteria; Bacillati; Bacillota; Clostridia; Neomoorellales; Neomoorellaceae.